CGUAGGUGGCAAGCGUUGUCCGGAUUUAUUGGGUUUAAAGGGUGCGUAGGCGGUCUGUUAAGUCAGUGGUGAAAUAUGGCAGCUUAACUGUCAGGGUGCCAUUGAUACUGAUGGACUUGAGUGAAGUCGAAGUAGGCGGAAUUGACGGUGUAGCGGUGAAAUGCUUAGAUACCGUCAAGAACACCGAUAGUGAAGACAGCUUACUAGGCUUAUACUGACGCUGAGGCACGAAAGUGUGGGGAUCAAACAGGAUUAGAUACCCUGGUAGUCCACACUGUAAACGUUGAUGACUCGCUGUUGGCGAUAUACAGCCAGCGGCCAAGCGCAAGCGAUAAGUCAUCCACCUGGGGAGUACGCCGGCAACGGUG
RNAcentral lists this ribosomal RNA (368 nucleotides) under uncultured organism. Its description in RNAcentral is "bacterial SSU rRNA". It matches the Rfam family "Bacterial small subunit ribosomal RNA", at positions 526 to 896 of the family's 1533-position model. The record is from RNAcentral.